Molecule: long non-coding RNA, 448 nt
Organism: Taeniopygia guttata (zebra finch)
Lineage: Eukaryota; Metazoa; Chordata; Aves; Passeriformes; Estrildidae
Source: RefSeq, a predicted model, not a curated record
CAGGGCGGCCGCAGCCCCGAGCCGCUCCCGCACGGCUGCCCGGCCCGGCGGCGGCACCGGCCCGGCGGCAUCUUCGAGGAAGCGCAGCACGGCCAUGGUUUGAUCCUGUGUCGUGAGUCGUGCAACGGUAGAAUCCUUAAGGUGAGAGAAGGCAGGAUUUUCCCUCUUUCAUUGCAGUUUCUGGGUUUACAGAUAAGAGAAACAGCAGCCCAGAACACAUUCAUCAGUGUAGAUGUGUGGUUUCUGUAACAUUGGAGUUGUCAUUUCUUCACCUUUUUCUUCUGGAAAACCAGCAUUGCUGCACAGAGGAGUUGAAGUCUGAUGCUGUACUAGGUUUCAACCAAUUUGGUUAAAAUGAGAACUUCUCCCCAGAAAUAGAACCCAUCUGAGGAGCGGGCAUCCUUUCUGAUGGUCAAAAUCCUAGCUUGAAUAUAUGAUGUUGUUCUGA